GACGAACGCUGGCGGCGUGCUUAACACAUGCAAGUCGAACGGAAAGGCCCUGCUUUUUUGGGGUGCCCGAGGGGCAAACGGGUGAGUAACACGGGAUUAACCUGCCCUGUACUUUGGGAUAACUUCAGGAAACUGGGGCUAAUACAGGAUAGGAGAGCCUGCUGCUGGGUGGGGUUGGGAAAUUUUCGGCGGUGGGGGAUGGACGUGCGGUUUAUCAGUUUGUUGGGCGGGUAGUGGCUACCACAGGCUUUGACGGGUAGCCGGCCUGAGAGGUUGGACGGCCUCCAUGGGCCUGCGAGACGGACCAGACGGCUAUGGUAGGCAGUAGUCGGGAAUCUUGCACAAUGGGCGGAAGCGUGAUGCAAAAACGCCGCGAGCGGGAUGCCGGCCUUCGGGUUGUAAACCGCUUUCGCCUGUGACGAAGCGUGAGUGACGGUAAUGGGUAAAGAAGCACCGGCUAACUACGUG
This 468-nucleotide ribosomal RNA is filed under the name uncultured bacterium. RNAcentral describes it as "partial 16S ribosomal RNA". It matches the Rfam family "Bacterial small subunit ribosomal RNA", at positions 28 to 507 of the family's 1533-position model. The record is from RNAcentral.